GCUUGGUUAACCUGCUCUCACUUCCCUUAGGAAGGUAAUUGAAGUCAAAGAAGUUGCAUGUAGUGAUUUGGAGGUUUGCAACUAGGAAAUUCUUAGAUUUAGGGGCAUAUGUAGCCUUUCAUGUACAAAGUUCUCAUUUUAACCUACCUCAGGCUACUCAGCUUUACUGAUUUAUAGUUAAUUAGGAUUGAGAUUUUCAUUGAAAAUUUGAAUACUUAUAUGCUUUUUUGUAUGCAUUUCAGAUCAUGUUGGCUGAAGCAAAUAAUUGUAACAGCACUCAAGAAAUGAGUGAAUACCACAGGGAAGAGCUUCAACCACCCCUGCCCCUGACAACCUUCACUUUUUUGGAAUCCUCGACAUGAUUUUGCAGAAAGGAAGAAAAGAAGGGAGAAAAGCUUCCGAAGUGCUGACUGUAUGUAGAAAUACUUCCCAGAGAACUAAAAAUCUAAGUCGACAAGGCUGCGCAGUAAGCCCAAAACAUGUUUCAGCAUCUCACUCUUAUCUGAACAACCCAGGAGCAACGCUGACAAUCCGGUGUGGUACUGAAUGUUCUGUUGAAGGCAACUUUAGAAAGCCCUGUGCAGAUGGAAUAUUUCAACUAAAUUAGAAUAAGAACUAACGGGAAGCAACAACAAAGAGAAAUCAACAAAGAAGAAAUAACUUCAGAGAAAUACUGAUGCUUUCAACUAUACAGAUAUCAUUUUCUACAGACAUUUAUUUUGUUUGUCAAAGGCCAAGGAAUCAAAUCAGCUGUUUUGAAGGUACGUUUUCUAAAAAUUGCUGUCAUCGUCACAGUUUUCCUAAAGUACUACGGUGCGUGGCCACACAUGACAUGAAGCACCGCUGCCAUGACUCUGCUUGCCUAAGAAAGAAGAAUAUAAAUAAUGCCAACCUCUGGGAGAAUUAUGGAGUCAGUCAUGCUCAUUUUUGUCAUCUUCAGCUAUUCCCACUCCAGAUUUUAAGUGUCAAAGAGUUGAACGCCUUUCUCCCUUCUUCUCAAUGCGAGAAAUACUUCUUUUGGACUGACCUUCGAUGUAGGGUGGAGCCAAGUUCACGGAAGCAGCCUCUUCUCCACCCCCACUUUAUUAUUCCCACACCACUCAAGGUCCACACCACUCCAAGGUAGUGAGGAUGAGAUUUGGC
Molecule: long non-coding RNA, 1143 nt
Filed under: Vulpes vulpes (red fox)
Lineage: Eukaryota; Metazoa; Chordata; Mammalia; Carnivora; Canidae
Description: lncRNA (ENSVVUG00000010644.1)
Source: RNAcentral